AUUGAAAUUGAUAUUCAAUCCAAUAAACGAAGAUGCUACGAGCAUACCACAUGUACAUAAUCGUUUAUUGAAUACGCUCAAACGAAAUGGAUUGGAAUUCCUCGACGAAGCUUUUCUUCGCCAUUUUAUUCACUUUUAAAGGGACUGAUGCAUCAUCACCGCCAGAUACAUCCUCAAGAUAUGAUGUUACGAAAAUACUGAACGAUUCCUUCGCAGGCAUCUUUGGAGGAAUCGAUUUGAAUGCAAAAAUAAAAUCAGCGAAGCUCUCUCGCCAAUACGGUAACAUGUACUCUUCCACAAAAACAUUAAAUGAAAGUGCUCAAAAAAUCCGAUCAAUUGCGGAUGAAAUUUCCAUGGUUUAUUAUAUCUUUCAUUACGGCGAGGGUCUAUUCAUCAACGGACCUUACAUAACUCAUUGGAGUUUAUCAAAAAAUGAAAUGCAAAUAAACUUCGGAAAAUUCCAUUUCCACAUCAAAGGAACAGUGAAAAUAACAAAAGCUAAUCUCUUCUUACAAUGUGAUUAUGAAAACUUUGUUAUUUUAUCUGGCGAUAAUUUCACAAUAACCGCAAAAAAACUGCAAGAAAACCACCACGACGACGAAAAAAUCCAAAUCGAUGUAUUGUUCAACAACAGAAAACUUCUGAAUAACGCAUUUGAGAAAUGUCGUCAAAUACCUUACAAGCAACAAUUAAAAUUGACACAUACUAUGAGUAUGGCAUUUCCGGCAAUAAUACGAGAUUGCAUCAUUACUAAGAGUGAUUUUGUGCCGUUAAUGAAUAAUACUCUCAAUCAUAUAAUUCCAAGACUGAAAAUUUCUUCAAUCCAUACAGAUUUUGUGGAGAACGAACAACACUACUACUAUCACAUACCUAUUAUUUCUUUCGUCCACUUUCAUUUGAAAAACAUCAAAAUCGUAGGUAUAUGGAAUUUGGAGCCCUACAAACAUCACUAUGAUCGCUACAGAGAUGCAAACACUCCUUUCACCUUACUUGUGAAAAACGUAAAAGGAAGCAUGAUGUUGGAUUCCGAAUCUGAACAUUUUCCGCAAUUCAAACUAAAAUUUGUUAUUGGUGAGCUCUCGAUGCUUUCCGACCAAAUUACCAAUAUACGAGUAUUGGCGAAAAAUUACAGCAUACUUGAGGAUACUUCAACACCGUCAACACGAAUUACCCCUUGGUUAACGAAAUUUUCCGAUUUCAUAAUGGGAAAUAUUUUAUCGGAGAUUGAAACAAUGACAAUACCAUUCAUCGAAGGCACAGUAAAUAGACGAAAUUUACCAUCAACGCGUACGAUGCUCAAAAUGGAAACCAUGCUGACACAGCUCUUGGAGAAAUCUACGAAUAACACAGACAAAGCUCAAGCUCAAACAUCCAACAAAAUCCGAACUUGAGAACUUCAUCUUCUGUAUCAGAAAUCCAUUACAAUAUUUUCAAGAAUUAGCAAUUCAGGAUUCUGCUAUCAAACAAUUUUGACUCUGAGAUCAAAUGACUGAAAAUUCAUCGGUGAUUACUAUAAACAACAUUGUUUUAAUUUGUGAAAAUAAACAUUCAAUCAAAACGCAACGUGGAAGUCGCUUAAUGUUGAUGAAAAAUAGUUUACAUGCAAUAAAAAUGAGGCAAAAAGUGAUAAUCAUCUCGAUAGUUUUUUAAAUGUUUAAUUUAAACAUGUAAUUAGUACGUUAUAUGUAUAUGAAUUAAAAUGAUACACAGACUGAAUUAUAAAUGAGGAAAUUCGAAAUUGAUUUUUGACUCGGCAAAUUAUAACUUCAAAUCAUAAUUCAUCAGAAGUAAUCAACAGUUUGUGAAAGUUUAACGUUUUAUUGUACUGUGAAGACAUGUAUUUGAAUCGUUCAAAAACGCUGUAUUCGUUUCUCAUUUUAUUCUUUCUAAAAGGCAUACAUAUACGCAUUACCUAAACGGCCACACCACGGGAAAAAUUAAUUUCAUCUUCGCUUGUUUUAGAAAUCGAUGCGACGGCUUUGCGGGACCCUUCUCCUAAAUACGAUAUUACAAAAAUAAUAAAUGAAACAGUUGUCAAACUAUUAGGUACAAAAAAUAGUGAUAAUUUGAACGAAAGAAUUCUAUCAUGGAUGCAUCCCGAGGCAGGAAAAUACUUCCGUCAUCAAAUAUCAAUUAAAAAUGAUCUGAAAAUUCGACCUUUCAACGAAGACUUCUUCUUAGAUGGUAUGAUUUUUCGCUACACUGGAUAUCCAUAUUUUUCCAAGGAGAGUAAGGCGAGAAUUCGCUGGAAUACUUCUAAAGCGGAAAUGAGCAUCAGCUGGAAUAAAAUCAGAUUUAUUAUCUACGGAAAAGUGAAAGAUGAAGCUUGUAGUUUCGUGUGGUGUCGACAUUAUUAUGAGUUCGAAGUAGUCCAUGUAUACGAUAACUUUUCAAUAACAGCCACCAAAUUAUCAUCAAAUCAACUUGACGACAAAAAAAUAUUCAUUGCUGUAUCGUACGAUCGUGUGGAGAAUGAGGAGGGUAUCAAAUUUUCGAAAAAUUAUGAAUUAUCCUACAAACAAAUACUGCAACUCAAAUAUAAGAUUGCAUUGGAAUCCACGACUUUAAUAAGCGAUUUUUUCAUCAAAAGCGAUGAUUUUUACAAUUUUUUUGAUAGUAUUCUCGUAACUCCAAAGGAACGAAUUACGUCAAUUCAUCCAGAUUUCCCCGAUAAUGAACAUAGCUAUUAUUAUAGUAUACCUGAUAUUCCCAUCGUGUACGUGAAUUUCAAAAAUAUUAAAAUUAUUGGCCUGUGGAGUUUUGAACCGUGCAUAGAUAACAAUACAAUUUCCUUACAUACGAAGAAUGUUCGAGGAAACAUGAUUUUGGAUGCUGGAUUUGAACAUUUUCCGCAGUUUGAACUGAAAUUCAUCAUCGAUGAACUUUCCAUGUUCAUUGACCACGGAAUUAAACGUAUACGAGUAAUGGCAAGAAAUUACAGCAUCUCUGAACUAACAUCGAAAUCAUCAUCAUCACUGUCCUCGUGGCUAAAAGAAUUUUCUGUUCCUAUAAUGGAUCUGAUCGAAUCAGCUAUCGAAACUACAAUAAUGCCGUCGAUGGGAUAUCUGUCACGUUCGUCUCUAUCGAAGAUACAGAUACAGGAAAUGGAAACCUCGUUCAUACAGCUUUUGAAGAAAUCUGCUGAUGUCUGACGGAGCCCAGAUAUGAUUUUUAAAGCACCAUUGAGGCUUUGACAAUCGACGUGAAUAAAGAAGGAGACGAAAAAAUAAAAUAACAAAGAUCUCACUUAAUAAACUCAAGUCUUGUUUCUACCAACAUCAUUUCUAACAUUAUUUUCAUCAACUACAGAACAAGAAAAAAUCGUUUCAAGCAGCAGAUUCAUCCAUUCACCUACGGAUAAAACUCAACCAAAAAGUAUUUUCCUUGCACCGCAAUCCUCAAGAAAUCGAGCAGUGUUUUCUCGGUAUUCGUUAUUUUUAUUCAUUUGCUUAUCAAAGCUUCCAAAAUAAAAUUAUAUUCGACUCAAAAAGCAUUAAAUAAAUUACGUAAAUGAAAAACUCGAUUGUUUUUCUAAUUCGGCUAAUUUGAAUAAUUUCCUACCAUAAUAAACGUUCUCGUAUAAUUUGCAA
Planococcus citri (citrus mealybug) is the source of this 3590-nucleotide RNA transcript. RefSeq lists it as uncharacterized. The record is from RefSeq and is a predicted model, not a curated record. The transcript has 10 exons. Lineage: Eukaryota; Metazoa; Arthropoda; Insecta; Hemiptera; Pseudococcidae.